RNAcentral lists this unclassified non-coding RNA (232 nucleotides) under Hevea brasiliensis (rubber tree). Lineage: Eukaryota; Viridiplantae; Streptophyta; Magnoliopsida; Malpighiales; Euphorbiaceae. The record is from RNAcentral.
AGAGAGAGAGAGAGAGAAGAGGAAAACAAAAAGGUAAAGCAUGUCAAGCACUUCUCUUCACACAAGUGACACAAAAACAUUAUACACUUCCAAACACUCAAAACUACAAUAUGGGCAUGUGAGCAAGUACAUAUUUCCUCAAAAGGAAAUGCAUACAAAUAUAGAUCAGGGAUGAAUAGCAAUUUAUCUGUAACAUGUUGUGGAGGCUUACCAACAUCAAGCAUGCAAAUAA